UCCCAGACCCUCUCCAUCCCCUGCGUCCUGAGUACGCUUCCCGAGGCCAGAUGAUGGAAGCUGAGUGGGA
RNAcentral lists this microRNA precursor (70 nucleotides) under Loxodonta africana (African savanna elephant). Its description in RNAcentral is "miRNA (ENSLAFG00000032997.1)". Lineage: Eukaryota; Metazoa; Chordata; Mammalia; Proboscidea; Elephantidae. The record is from RNAcentral.